RNAcentral lists this ribosomal RNA (510 nucleotides) under uncultured bacterium. RNAcentral describes it as "bacterial SSU rRNA". It matches the Rfam family "Bacterial small subunit ribosomal RNA", at positions 28 to 527 of the family's 1533-position model. The record is from RNAcentral.
GAUGAACGCUAGCGAUAGGCCUAACACAUGCAAGUCGAGGGGCAUCACAUGAAGUAGCAAUACGGAUGGUGGCGACCGGCGCACGGGUGAGUAACACGUAUGCAACCUGCCUUCAACAAGGGGAUAACCCGUUGAAAGACGGACUAAUACCCUAUAACACAGGGGUCCCGCAUGGGAAUAUUUGUUAAAGGACAACCGGUUGAAGAUGGGCAUGCGUUCCAUUAGCUAGUUGGCGGGUAACGGCCCACCAAGGCAACGAUGGAUAGGGGAACUGAGAGGUUUAUCCCCCACACUGGUACUGAGACACGGACCAGACUCCUACGGGAGGCAGCAGUGAGGAAUAUUGGUCAAUGGACGCAAGUCUGAACCAGCCACGUCGCGUGAAGGAAGACGGCCCUACGGGUUGUAAACUUCUUUUAUACGGGAAUAAAGUGCCCCACGCGUGGGGUUUUGCAUGUACCGUAUGAAUAAGGAUCGGCUAACUCCGUGCCAGCAGCCGCGGUAAUUACG